This 497-nucleotide ribosomal RNA is filed under the name uncultured bacterium. Its description in RNAcentral is "partial 16S ribosomal RNA". It matches the Rfam family "Bacterial small subunit ribosomal RNA", at positions 28 to 507 of the family's 1533-position model. The record is from RNAcentral.
GAUGAACGCUGGCGGCGUGCCUAAUACAUGCAAGUCGAGCGAACGGACGAGAAGCUUGCUUCUCUGAUGUUAGCGGCGGACGGGUGAGUAACACGUGGAUAACCUACCUAUAAGACUGGGAUAACUUCGGGAAACCGUAGCUAAUACCGGAUAAUAUGUUGAACCGCAUGGUUCAAAAGUGAAAGACGGUCUUGCUGUCACUUAUAGAUGGAUCCGCGCUGCAUUAGCUAGUUGGUAAGGUAACGGCUUACCAAGGCAACGAAGCAUAGCCGACCUGAGAGGGUGAUCGGCCACACUGGAACUGAGACACGGUCCAGACUCCUACGGGAGGCAGCAGUAGGGAAUCUUCCGCAAUGGGCGAAAGCCUGACGGAGCAACGCCGCGUGAGUGAUGAAGGUCUUCGGAUCGUAAAACUCUGUUAUUAGGGAAGAACAUAUGUGUAAGUAACUGUGCACAUCUUGACGGUACCUAAUCAGAAAGCCACGGCUAACUACGUG